Molecule: ribosomal RNA, 497 nt
Filed under: uncultured bacterium
Lineage: Bacteria
Description: partial 16S ribosomal RNA
Rfam family: Bacterial small subunit ribosomal RNA
Source: RNAcentral
GACGAACGCUGGCGGCGUGCCUAAUACAUGCAAGUUGAGCGCUGAAGGUUGGUACUUGUACCGACUGGAUGAGCAGCGAACGGGUGAGUAACGCGUGGGGAAUCUGCCUUUGAGCGGGGGACAACAUUUGGAAACGAAUGCUAAUACCGCAUAAAAACUUUAAACACAAGUUUUAAGUUUGAAAGAUGCAAUUGCAUCACUCAAAGAUGAUUCCGCGUUGUAUUAGCUAGUUGGUGAGGUAAAGGCUCACCAAGGCGAUGAUACAUAGCCGACCUGAGAGGGUGAUCGGCCACAUUGGGACUGAGACACGGCCCAAACUCCUACGGGAGGCAGCAGUAGGGAAUCUUCGGCAAUGGACGAAAGUCUGACCGAGCAACGCCGCGUGAGUGAAGAAGGUUUUCGGAUCGUAAAACUCUGUUGGUAGAGAAGAACGUUGGUGAGAGUGGAAAGCUCAUCAAGUGACGGUAACUACCCAGAAAGGGACGGCUAACUACGUG